This 724-nucleotide ribosomal RNA is filed under the name uncultured bacterium. Its description in RNAcentral is "bacterial SSU rRNA". It matches the Rfam family "Bacterial small subunit ribosomal RNA", at positions 81 to 808 of the family's 1533-position model. The record is from RNAcentral.
CACUUCGGUGGGAAGCGGCGAACGGGUGAGUAACACGUAGGUGAUCUGCCCAUCAGACAGGGACAACGAUUGGAAACGAUCGCUAAUACCGGAUAGGACGAAAGUUUAAAGAUGCUCCUGGCAUCACUGAUGGAUGAGCCUGCGGCGCAUUAGCUAGUUGGUGGGGUAAAGGCCUACCAAGGCGACGAUGCGUAGCCGACCUGAGAGGGUGAACGGCCACACUGGGACUGAGACACGGCCCAGACUCCUACGGGAGGCAGCAGUAGGGAAUCUUCGGCAAUGGGCGAAAGCCUGACCGAGCAACGCCGCGUGAAUGAAGAAGGCCUUCGGGUUGUAAAAUUCUGUUAUAAGGGAAGAAAGGUGAUAGGAGGAAAUGACUAUCAAUUGACGGUACCUUAUGAGAAAGCCACGGCUAACUACGUGCCAGCAGCCGCGGUAAUACGUAGGUGGCAAGCGUUAUCCGGAAUUAUUGGGCGUAAAGAGCGCGCAGGUGGUUAAUUAAGUCUGAUGUGAAAGCCCACGGCUUAACCGUGGAGGGUCAUUGGAAACUGGUUGACUUGAGUGCAGAAGAGGGAAGUGGAAUUCCGUGUGUAGCGGUGAAAUGCGUAGAGAUAUGGAGGAACACCAGUGGCGAAGGCGGCUUCCUGGUCUGCAACUGACACUGAGGCGCGAAAGCGUGGGGAGCAAACAGGAUUUGAUACCCUGGUAGUCCACGCCGUAAACG